GAAACCUGAUUGCAGCCCUGAGACAGAGCUCACCUGCCAGCUGGACAAACCCUCCUGGAAGGAACAACAUAUCCUGGGAAUGGAAGUGGCUGAAGCACCGGCUGUUUUGAAAACAAGCCUCGAAGAGAAGGGCCAGGCCCCACCGAAGAAGUCCCAACAAUGCCUCUGCUCAACUGCCAAAGCCUCCAGCUUCCCCCUGACAACUUCUGCUAUGCACUGGAGUUCACUGUACAGCCAAGAGAUGUAAUGCCAAAGUUCAUCUGUUUUGCCUGUAACGUGCUGCUCGUUCUGCUAUGCACUAGGAUCAUCCUUUUCACAGCAACCCGACUGUGAUGUCUCAAACAGAAUGGACUUCAGUUUAGGAAUAAAAUGUAGGAGCUGAUGAACUCUCAAAAACAGAUCCGUCUUCACCAAGAACGAGGGAAAAUAAAUACUGAAUAUCUAUAUUGUCUUCUGUUAAAUUAGUGCCUAGUGUUUAAGUGAAAUACAUUAACUGUGGAAACUUUUCUCCAGCCCUCUCAUUAGGGAGUCAAUGGAGAAUUUAUAUAAUGCUCCAUGGGGGAAGAAACGGAUAGACAUCAUUCCUGUAGAUGACUGUGGCAUGGUAGCACUAGUCUUAAAGAAAACUGCCUGUCUCUCAAAUUUAUUCUUUCUACAAGAGUCAAGUCAGAAUUUUAAGAGCUUCAAGGAGGACCCCUUAGCAUAUGACUAUAAUUUCCAGAUUAUUUUUUUUAGUCAGAUGUACCACAUUAAUAUGUCUGUCAGUCUCCAUACCUUCAGUGUGAACAUUAAAACUAUGUGUUGACUAUCUAACUUUGUUUUCCAACCGAUGGAUCAUAUGAUGAAUUUCCUUGUUAAAGGACAUAUGGGCUCUCUGGAAAGUCUCUGUACAAAGAAUAUAAAACAUUUCCAAAAUGGCUAAGAGAAGAUAUUCCAUCUGGCCUUAUAAGCAACCAUGUAAUACUCAGACAUGUUUACAACUUUUGUACAAAGAUAAUGGCUUUCAUCGUAGACAUUUGAGUUGCUAUGUCAUUAGCAGUUUGUGGGGACAAAAUAUUA
Molecule: long non-coding RNA, 1059 nt
Organism: Mauremys mutica (yellowpond turtle)
Lineage: Eukaryota; Metazoa; Chordata; Testudines; Geoemydidae
Exons: 4
Source: RefSeq, a predicted model, not a curated record